AAUAUUGGACAAUGGGCGAAAGCCUGAUCCAGCCAUGCCGCGUGUGUGAAGCAGGNUUNNGGAUUNUNAAGCACUAUAAGUUGNNNNNAAGGGCAGUAAGUUAAUACCUUGCUGUUUUGACGUUACCGACAUAAUAAGCACCGGCUAACUUCGUGCCAUCAGCCGCGGUAAUACGAAGGGUGCAAGCGUUAAUCGGAAUUACUGGGCGUAAAGCGCGCGUAGGUGGUUCGUUAAGUUGGAAGUGAAAGCCCCGGGCUUAACCUGGGAAUUGCUUUCAAAACUGACGAGCUAGAGUACGGUAGAGGGUAAUGGAAUUUCCUGUGUAGCGGUGAAAUGCGUAGAUAUAGGAAGGAACACCAGUGGCGAAGGCGACCACCUGGGCUAAUACUGACACUGAGGUGCGAAAGCGUGGGGAGCAAACAGG
This 424-nucleotide ribosomal RNA is filed under the name uncultured bacterium. RNAcentral describes it as "partial 16S ribosomal RNA". It matches the Rfam family "Bacterial small subunit ribosomal RNA", at positions 360 to 776 of the family's 1533-position model. The record is from RNAcentral.